AAAAAAAAAAAAAAAAAAAAAGAAGAAGAAGAAAAAGAAGGUAGUUAAUAUUGGGAUCUAUCAUAAAAAACAGAAAAAAAAAAAAAAAAAAAAAAAAAAGUUGUUAAAAGUAGACAAUAACGAAAAAAUAAUCAAAAACAAUGUAUUUAAUAUUGCCUAAUAUAUAAGUCAAACUGAUCUGUUUUUUUUUUUACUUUGUUUGUGUCAUUUGGAAUGUACAUAUUUUUAAUAAUUGAAAAAAUUUGGUACAUAUAUACAUAUAUAUGCAUGUAUGUAACAUAUUGCUAAUUCCACACUUUUUAUAAAACACUACGUAAAAAUAUGAAAUCAAAUAAACAGUAUUAUAUAUAUGUAUAUAUAGUAAAAAUAAAACAGUGUUUUUUUUUUUUAUUAUCUAUAUAUAAUUUUAUUUUAUUUUAUUUAUUUUAUUUUAUUUUUUUUUUUGUAUGUACAUACAUUUGCAAAUAAAAUUUAUACAUUUAGCUUAAAAAAAAUAAAGCAAAAAAGAAAAACAGCACAAAUGAGCUGUUAUACAUCAGUAUAUAUAUAUAUAUAUAUAUAUAUUUAUAUGCAUACAUAAUUUAACAUAUUAAAAAAAUUAUUUUAAAAAAUGCUAAUUCAAUAAAUUCAAAAAAUAUAUUGAAAAAAAAAAAAUUAGAAACCCAUACAUAACAUAUAUACAUAUGCAUACGCAUAGUUAUUAUUGACAUAGACAUACAACAUACAACACACAACAUACAUAAUACAACAUACGACAUAAAAGAAAUAUAAUACAUAGGUUUUUGUUCGAACAAAAUGUAUAAGAAAGUUUUUUCAUUAGUGUUUUUUGCUUUCAUAAGCAUAAUGUAUGGAGAAUCUAAAAAUGUUGUUUCUGCAUUUUUAUCAUAUUUUGACACCAAAAUAAAUUCAAAAAAUGAAAUCUCAAAAAUUAUAAAAAUUGGAAAUGGUAUGGUUUGUUUGUUGAAUGAUGAUAAUUCAACUUAUAAUGAAUGUGCUUGUACUUUUAAAAAAUUGAACGAGUUUGAAAUGAAUUGUGUAUCCAAUUUUAAAAAGAGUCAAGAAGAAGCAAAAAAUUGCUCUAUAGAACAUUGUGAAAUUUGUUGUAAUUUAAUUAGUUCAAAAAACAUGACAAACUCUAUAUUAGAUUAUGAGUUAGACUGUAAAAAAAAAUGCACAAAAAAUAAUACAAUUUUAAGUGGCAAUCAAAAUGAUUAUAAAUUAGCUUUUCAAAAAAUAGUUGAAUUCAUUCGUAUAUUUUACCCACCAACUGUUUUAAAUUACCACCCUAUUGAAAAUAAAAAAGUUCCUAAAUAUACUAAUAAAGUAUUGGGUUCAAAGUACGAUCGAAUAAUCGAAGAUUUGAAAGCUG
RNAcentral lists this long non-coding RNA (1369 nucleotides) under Piliocolobus tephrosceles (Ugandan red Colobus). RNAcentral describes it as "lncRNA (ENSPTEG00000004367.1)". Lineage: Eukaryota; Metazoa; Chordata; Mammalia; Primates; Cercopithecidae. The record is from RNAcentral.